Molecule: ribosomal RNA, 325 nt
Filed under: uncultured eukaryote
Lineage: Eukaryota
Description: partial 18S ribosomal RNA
Rfam family: Eukaryotic small subunit ribosomal RNA
Source: RNAcentral
CCCUUAGAUGUUCUGGGCUGCACGCGCGCUACACUGAUGCGCUCAACGAGUUUUAACCUUGCCUGGAAAGGUUGGGUAAUCUUUUUAAAACGCAUCGUGAUGGGGAUAGAUUAUUGCAAUUAUUAAUCUUCAACGAGGAAUUCCUAGUAAGCGCGAGUCAUCAGCUCGUGCUGAUUACGUCCCUGCCCUUUGUACACACCGCCCGUCGCUCUUACCGAUUGAGUGAUCCGGUGAAUAAUUCGGACUGCGGCAUUGACCGGUUCCCGAUCGUUGCUGCGGAAAGUUUAGUGAACCUUAUCACUUAGAGGAAGGAGAAGUCGUAACA